RNAcentral lists this long non-coding RNA (370 nucleotides) under Elaeis guineensis (African oil palm). RNAcentral's name for it is "long non-coding RNA (EGUI_LNC051553)". Lineage: Eukaryota; Viridiplantae; Streptophyta; Magnoliopsida; Arecales; Arecaceae. The record is from RNAcentral.
CGGCUGGGGUUGUUUUAUACCCAAUACUAAUCUCCCUAUUUUUGAGUUCAGGUUUCGAAUGAAGGAAGUACAAAGAAAUUUUCACAACUGAAGUUGCCCCCCUUGAUUUCUGUACUCGAUUGUUUCUAGAUAUUUUAGUGUUUGGCGCAUCGAUGCUAGAGUCUUUUCAAAUCAAGGCUUUGCUCAUAUUAGGAUGAGGUUCUCCUCCUGCUCUUAACAUGGCUGUGGGGGCGCAUAAGGGCUGUUGUGAGGGCCUCUCCCCCCAUCCGGUCUCUUAAUAAUCGGAUCUUCGACUUUGCUCAUGUUAGGAUGAGGUUCUCCUCCUGUUCCUAACAUGACUGUGGGGGCGCAUAAGGGCCGUUGUGAGGGC